This is a long non-coding RNA of Bradysia coprophila, 356 nucleotides long. The record is from RefSeq and is a predicted model, not a curated record. Lineage: Eukaryota; Metazoa; Arthropoda; Insecta; Diptera; Sciaridae.
GGAAGGGCUGGUAGAGCUACUUGAGCAGAUCUUUUAACUUUUGCUGCAGGAACAGCUGGAUUUGCCGGAAGAGCAGGAAGGGCUGGGAGAGCUAAUUGAGCAGAUCUUUUAACUUUCGGUGCAGGAACAGCUGGAUUAGCCGGAUUUGCUGGAUUUGCCGGAAGAGCAGGAAGGGCUGGGAGAGCUACUUGAGCAGAUCUUUUAACUUUCGCUGCAGGAACAGCUGGAUUUGCCGGAAGAGCAGGAAGGGUUGGUAGAGCUAUUUGAGCAGAUCUUUUAACUUUCGCUGCAGGUGUCGCCGGAGUUGCUGCGGUGGCUGGAGUUGCAGGCGUUGCUGCAGUGGCUGGAGUUGCAGC